Molecule: ribosomal RNA, 497 nt
Filed under: uncultured bacterium
Lineage: Bacteria
Description: partial 16S ribosomal RNA
Rfam family: Bacterial small subunit ribosomal RNA
Source: RNAcentral
GAUGAACGCUGGCGGCGUGCCUAACACAUGCCAGUCGAGCGAACAGACGAGGAUCGUGCGCCUCUGACGUUAGCGGCGGACGGGUGAGUAACACGUGGAUAACCUACCUAUAAGACUUGGAUAACGGCGGGCAACCGGAGCUAAUACCGGAUAAUAUAUUCAACCGCAUGGUUCAGUAGUGAAAGACGGUUUUGCUGUCACUUAUAGAUGGAUCCGCGCCGCAUUAGCUAGUUGGUAAGGUAACGGCUUACCAAGGCAACGAUGCGUAGCCGACCUGAGAGAGGGAUCGGCCACACUGGAGCUGGGACACCGUCCAGGCUCCUGCGAGAGGCCGCAGUAGGGUAUCUUCCGCAGUGGGCGGAAGCCUGGCGGAGCGACGCCGCGUGAGUGAUGGAGGUCUUCGGUUCGUGAAGCUCUGUUAUUAGGGAAGAACAAAUGUGUGAGUAGCUGUGCACGUCUUGACGGUACCUGCUGAGAAAGCCACGGCUAACUACGUG